RNAcentral lists this ribosomal RNA (253 nucleotides) under uncultured bacterium. RNAcentral's name for it is "partial 16S ribosomal RNA". It matches the Rfam family "Bacterial small subunit ribosomal RNA", at positions 524 to 776 of the family's 1533-position model. The record is from RNAcentral.
UACGAGUGGUGCAAGCGUUAUUCGGAAUCAUUGGGCGUAAAGGGUGUGUAGACGGCAGAUUAAGUCAACUGUUUAAUUCUCCGGCCUAACCGGAGGCCAGCGGUAGAAACUGGUCUGCUAGAGGGUGGAAGAGAGAAGUGGAAUUCUCGGAGUAGCGGUAAAAUGCGUAGAUCUCGAGAGGAACACCAAUGGCGAAGGCAGCUUCUUGGUCCACAUCUGACGUUGAAACACGAAAGCGUGGGGAGCAAACAGG